RNAcentral lists this unclassified non-coding RNA (456 nucleotides) under uncultured Mortierella. RNAcentral describes it as "sequence contains ITS2". The stretch from base 1 to 154 matches the Rfam family "5.8S ribosomal RNA". Lineage: Eukaryota; Fungi; Mortierellomycota; Mortierellomycetes; Mortierellales; Mortierellaceae. The record is from RNAcentral.
AACUUUUGACAAUGGAUCACUUGGCUCUCGCAUCGAUGAAGAACGCAGCGAAAUGCGAUACGUAAUGUGAAUUGCCGAAUUCAGUGAAUCAUCGAAUCUUUGAACGCAUAUUGCGCUCUUUGGUAUUCUGAAGAGCAUGCUUGUUUGAGUAUCAGUAAACACCUCAACCUCCUCUUGUUUUUUCAAAAGGAGGGUGGACUUGAGCUAUCCCAACAACCUUCACCGGUAGGCGGGCGGCUUGAAAUGCAGGUGCAGCUGGACUUUUAUCUGAGCUAAAAGCAUAUCUAUUUAGUCCUCGUCAAACAGGAUUAUUACUAUUGCUGCAGCUAACAUAAAGGAUAAUUGUCCUCAUUGCUGACUGAUGCAGGAUUUUACGACACUUUAUGUGUUGUUCAACUCGAUCUCAAAUCAAGUAAGACUACCCGCUGAACUUAAGCAUAUCAAUAAGCGGAGGCU